Molecule: non-coding RNA, 2570 nt
Organism: Lolium perenne
Lineage: Eukaryota; Viridiplantae; Streptophyta; Magnoliopsida; Poales; Poaceae
Source: RefSeq, a predicted model, not a curated record
CUGGCAAGACCCGUUGUCCGUAUCUUCCACCUCUCCACUAAAUUCCCUAAUUUCAUGCUAGGUCACCGCAUGAGGAAGUUUCUGGGUGUGAAACCAACCUAGCAUCGCCCCCCUCUCUUGGAGCUCGAUCCCCAUCGUCUGAUCCGAUCCCCUCGCCAUGGCACAGCACGACGGCAAGCCGGGCCGGCCGCACCGUCGCCGUCGCCUUGAGCGGCCGCCAUGGAUCCCCUCGUGUUCUAGGUGCCCAAUGGAGGGCCGAUGAACGGGUCCAAGGAGAAUCUCGAACUGAAGAUGCAGAUAGAAGAUGAGGAGGGGGAAGAAGAGGAGGAUAUGGACCUGGUCUCUGUUGUUUCUUCUUCCUUCAGUCCUGCGCAACUCCCAGUCCCACUGCGAGCCCUGUCCCUGCAACUCUCUCUCUCACCUUGACCCGGAGGUUAGGCCGGGUGAACGUCUGGUUGUUGAUGAUUCUACUGGUUCUGAUGCAGAUCGUAUUUUGCUGUUGUGGGCUCGCCGUUUUAGAUCGACAGAUAUGUGCGGCUCUGAAACUACUUUAUGCAAAUAUCAGUGAAUUGUGCAGCAAAACUAUGAAAAUCGAUGGAGUUAGGGAAUAAAGUUCACUAAGGGCAUAAACAAUCAGGCUUGAGCAGAUCAUUGAGGAAUGGCAAUUCUUCGACGGGAAGUGGGAGUCUAAGCUAACACUCAUUGUUGCCCAAAAACCCAUCAUGCCAAAUUCCUCUAGGCCCGAUCUUCAAAUAAUGUUCCUCUCACUGAACUUUAUUUUUACUUAUGGAGAAGUCGCAUUAGUUUUUUUAUGGAGUGAAUCAUCCCAAUAAUUUUGACUUUCUACAUGUGUCCACAUGAUUGUAAGUACUCUCUGUGAUUUCCUCUGUUUUCUGUUUAUCAAGUAGCAAAGUGGUUGUGGUGGUUUGCAGGUGUCUUUGGUUACCAUUCGUUUACAUGGGGCUAAUUGUUUUCUGUUUGUUGUCACCAUGUUAUGCAUGAAGAGAUCGGCUUCAGUGCCGAUGUGCUUCAGGAAUUUAUGCAUUUGCUUUCUUACAUGUAUUUAGGUGGCAGAUAGUACCACAUAUCAUUCCAGUAUUUUUUUGUCAAACCUAUGUUUUGAACUUUGUUGUUGUGUUCUUUCCAUGUACCAGGGAAGCACAAUGGUGAUUUCAUUCGUGGCACAACCCUUUGUAUUUGUGUUUGGCUAAUAGCACACCUCGCUGCCACCGAGGCGGGCACGUUCAUGAAGUUUGAGGACAUGUCGGGCAUGUCGUUCAGCAAGGGAAUAGGACACACAUCUUCGGGCAGCUUCCCACUGCCGGAGCUGGCAUGUCUGCAUGAGAAACACUGGAGCACCAUGUUCUUCUGCUGAUGAUUAAAGGAGAGCAUUGUAAGCUGCUCUUAUUUUUACAUGGUUGCACAUGAUUUCACAGUUGUUUCGGUGUUGAUAUUUGGGCAACUGGACUUUUUAGGGCAUGUCACAGGACCUGUGUUUCAGAAUUGCGGUGCAUACUUGCUAGAGAUAUAGACAUAGUGAUAACUGAACAUUGGUGUUACCUGGUAUUCAACGAGUUGUGAUACCACCAACAGCCCAAUUUACUCCCAUGUAUGAUGUGUACAAUUGCUCUGUGUAUCCGAACGCAUGAGCUGACCCAAGAUGGCGUUAUAUUAUAAACUGUUCGUUCAUAAUUUUAUCUAUUUGAUGUUUCUGAAUUUUCUCAACCUGGCAAUUCAUUAGCUGCAAGGGUUGCAGCUAUGCUUAGACCGUAGAUCCCUCAAAGCAAAUUCAGCCAAACGUGGAAUGUUAAGAGUUUAUAGCAGUAACGCACAUCCUGAUAUGUUAGUUGGUGAAAAAGUAGUUAGAUUACCAAUGUAGACUCCUACAAGUAUUUACUUUGUUGUUCUAAACAACCUAUAGGCAUGUUCACUCUUAGAUGUAUAUCAUUUUCUUAAUUAUGUCAGUGUUCGCUUUUCCUUUCAGAUAUCUUCUAUGUUUCAGAGCUUCUUGGUUUAUGUUAAAACGAGGAUGGGCAAUGGAUAUUAUAUCGUUCAUUUGAGGCAAUUGGCCAUCAUUUCUGGUUUGGAAAUUUCAGUUUUUCUCCAUUUUUUACAUAGGCUGUACUAAUAAGAUGGCCAGAUUUGGAGUGCAAUUUCUCAUGUAUGUACUACCUUCCGAUCUACUAUGCAGUACUAUGGAAUUUAUAUGUAUCAGCUCUAAAAACAUAUUUUUAUCUAGCAGAUGCUUGGUAGAAGGACCAUUUGAUUUUAUCAUGUCAAUUUCAUGAUGGUUAUUCUCCCACUGUAUCCUGAACGCAUCUUCUCUAUCAAGAUAGGUCUUACAGCAUGACUCAGGACUCAGGAUUCCUCAUUGAAUCUCUACUGAUUCUACCAGAAGCACCAAGGCCUCCAAUCAUUGUUGGAUUUCGAUAUUGUGUUCUCUGAAUUACAUAAAUUUGAAAAAGAGAUAUGGUCCAAGGUAUCUCUGCAUUUAUAUACUACCUAAGCACAGUUAUUGACCAUAGAUGCCUUGAAACAAGCACAGUUGGGUGCAUUUGUAUUUUUUGUUA